CCUACGGGUGGCAGCAGUGAGGAAUAUUGGUCAAUGGGCGAAAGCCUGAACCAGCCAAGUCGCGUGAGGGAAGACGGCCCUACGGGUUGUAAACCUCUUUUAUCGGGGAAGAAAAAGCGUUACGUGUGGCCCAAUGCCCGUACCCCACGAAUAAGCAUCGGCUAACUCCGCGCCAGCAGCCGCGGUAAUACGGAGGAUGCGAGCGUUAUCCGGAUUUAUUGGGUUUAAAGGGUGCGCAGGCGGAGAUGCAAGUUAGCGGUCAAACGUCGGGGCUCAACCUCGAUUUGCCAUUGAAACUGGAGCUCUAGAGUACGGGAGAGGUAGGCGGAAUGCGUGGUGUAGCGGUGAAAUGCGUAGAUAUCACGUAGAACCCCGAUUGCGAAGGCAGCUUACCAGAGCGUAACUGACGCUGAUGCACGAGAGCGUGGGUAGCGAACAGGAUUAGAUACCCCAGUAGUC
RNAcentral lists this ribosomal RNA (459 nucleotides) under uncultured bacterium. RNAcentral's name for it is "partial 16S ribosomal RNA". It matches the Rfam family "Bacterial small subunit ribosomal RNA", at positions 338 to 795 of the family's 1533-position model. The record is from RNAcentral.